RNAcentral lists this ribosomal RNA (481 nucleotides) under uncultured bacterium. RNAcentral's name for it is "bacterial SSU rRNA". It matches the Rfam family "Bacterial small subunit ribosomal RNA", at positions 28 to 524 of the family's 1533-position model. The record is from RNAcentral.
GACGAACGCUGGCGGCGUGCUUAACACAUGCAAGUCGAGCGGUAAGGCCCUUUCGGGGGUACACGAGCGGCGAACGGGUGAGUAACACGUGGGUGACCUGCCCUCAGCUCUGGGAUAAGCCUGGGAAACCGGGUCUAAUACUGGAUAUGACUCCAUGACGCAUGUUGUGGGGUGGAAAGCCUUGUGCGGCUGAGGAUGGGCCCGCGGCCUAUCAGCUUGUUGGUGGGGUGANGGCCUACCAAGGCGACGACGGGUAGCCGGCCUGAGAGGGCGACCGGCCACACUGGGACUGAGACACGGCCCAGACUCCUACGGGAGGCAGCAGUCGGGAAUUUUGGGCAAUGGGCGAAAGCCUGAACCCAGCAACGCCGCGUGAAGGAUGUAAGUUUUUCGGAAUGUAAACUUCGUAAGAAUAAGGAAGAAAUAAAUGACGGUACUAUUUGUAAGGUCCGGCUAACUACGUGCCAGCAGCCGCCGUAAC